This 60-nucleotide microRNA precursor is filed under the name Pongo abelii (Sumatran orangutan). RNAcentral describes it as "miRNA". Lineage: Eukaryota; Metazoa; Chordata; Mammalia; Primates; Hominidae. The record is from RNAcentral.
GGUGCCCCGGGAAGGCAUGGGCCAGGCCACAUACUGAGCCCCACCCCGGUUCACCCGCAG